CGCUCCUUCAAGAGUUCAUCUUGUGAGCCCAGGACAGGAUGAACCCAAAUAACUUCACAGCCCUUGGGAGGUACAGCAGUUAAAGCACACUGACUGGUCUCUGAGGAACUUUUGGACUCCCUUUCUGAAUCGUGGAGAGACGGCAUCGCUUACGCAAGCAAUGAAACAACCUCUUUCCCCACCGUUUGGUAAUGCUACAAGUUUACAGCAAACCAGCAAAGAUCACACGACCUCCUGGAGGACAAAGGGCUACAAGCAACAAACUAGAUGAUUUUCAGGUUGGUCCUAUGUACUGCAUCCAGUCUGGAUCUCUGAAGAUUUUCAAAUGGAACAGAUCAGCACCCAAAUCCUUCUAAAAGAGGAGCUACAGGAAGACUUCUCACAGAGAUAUUCAUUUUGCCACUACAACUACUAUAACGAGGGCAUUCUCUCAACAAAUGACUGGAAGUUGACAAGCUGUGAAAAGUAAUCCAUCGCUGCUUAAGAAUGGAGAUCAUUGCUUAUCCAUAAUGAUGUGACUGGCUAAAAGAGUGCUUUAUAGCAAAAAAAUAGGUUGAAAUUAAAUAAAGGUAUCCCGUGAAAUUCGAUAUUCCAAAAUAUUACUAUCAUAUUAUGGUGAGGUAAUCGUGAAUUUGAAUACAAUUUCAUGAUACAAUUUGUUUUCUACUCCCACAAGUUCGGCCUCAUAAUUACAUGUUCAUUUAUGAUGUUAUAACUCAUACUCGUGUUUUCUUCCUUGCAGUACAUCCUAUCACUUCUCCAAUGCUUUCCUUUUACAAAAGGGAACAAAAGUUACUCUUAAAAGACAGUGUCUUGUAAAGUUAACCAAAAGUAAAAGACUGAAUCUUUUAUUUACACAGUUCUAGGAACUACUGAGUAGUCCACUACUCUUGCAAAUAAUAUUUUUUUGAGAAAGAUUAUAGUCCUAGAUCUCAAGUUGGUAUUACAAAAGCAGAAUGUAUGUAAUGUGCAACAUUUUGAACAUGGGAUUAAAUCUGGGAUUAAUCUAGAUUUACAUUUAAAUUAACUUUAAUAUCAGCAGGAGUCCUGUGGUUAAUUCUGGGUGCACAGGCAGGGGGGUAGAUUGAGGCCAGCUGAGAGCGAAUCAAUGUGAUUCUUAUCUUAAAGUCAGGUUUUGUUGAGAAUAUCUAAUUUAGUUAUCGGCACCAGCUAUUUAACCUGCACUCCAGCCACUUUGCUGGAGCAUCGGUUAUCUCAGGUAACUAACGAGCAGCAUAGGACCCUUAAAGGCUUUAAUACAAGGAAGGUUUUUAGUGAUUCCCUGAUCUGGUCUGCAAUUGACUCCUGUGGCUGGCAUGCGAACCAAGACUGAAGCAAGCUGUAGCAAACGCUUUUUCAGAGUAAGGGUUUCAUGAAGUUUGCAUUUAUGCCUAGCGAAGAGGCCAAAGCAGUAGACAAGUUCCCAUGUAUUAAUCUUGAGAUAGAUCUAAUUGCCAUUUCUACUCAAGACUUGCAUGUGCAGCCACAAGCAUUGUCUGUAAUUCAUGCUGAAGGAGAGGAUACUGUGUGAAUACUCCCUCAGUUGGUCUCUGUAUUUUAAUCGGAGACUUUAUGGGGAACGCAAAAGUGGUACCAAGGAAAACAGAAAUAAGCAAAGGGAAAAUGUUUGUUGUUCAGUUAACCAAAAACUCAAAUUGGAAAUGGGAUUUUUCAGGGAGUGAAGUGAAAUUCAGUCUAAUGGACUUCGUUUUCCCAAUCACCGUAUUAUGAUCAAUUAAUUAGCCUUUAAUUUGCAGCAGUGAUCAGAAUAUCUUCAUACUUAUUUUCAUGCAUGCUACAUACGUGCAUACGUCUUUUCAUGCAUUCUACUAAAAACCCUGUAUCUUCUAGCACAAGAAACUGAAAAUAUUAACAGAAGAAUAUUUGUUUUACAGAUCUUGGGAGGGGAGGAGGGGAAGAGUGAUUAUAUGAAUCCUCUGUAAAGGCUGGAAGAGAGAUUACAUGUGUAGAAGUUUUUUAGAUCCACAAACACAUUGGAAGUUUACUUCCUAUUUCAGUGGAAGCUCACGACACCUACCUUAAAUGAUGAUUAACUAUCUUUCUGUCCAUUUUGGCAGUGACACAGUUAAGAAGAGAUCAGGAGUAGAAAUACACAGCAGCUGAUACACAAAGUUGAAAAAACAGUUGAGUGAAAUUACAUUAAUGAAGCAGCAGAAAGAAUGGAGAGAAGUGGCAUGUUAAUAUAUUACAUUAUUUCAAGUGAUUUGUUGUUUUUGUUUGAUAUUUCCAAACUCUCACACUAAAUAGAUAACUACUUAAUUGUUAAGUUACUACUUCUAAAAUUCAUUUCUUAGUUUCUCCAGUAUCCCCAGCAAUUUUUCAAUUUAUUCCACUUGGUAAGUUGUUGCUUUUCUGUUGUUGUUCUUUCUCUCUGCUUCUUCCCACUCUGUUUACAGUCUUUUAAAUAAUUGGCUUUGGUUUUGAAUAUAUUUAAGCACUCUUUUAGUCAUAUGAGUGACUCCAACUCAUUUUGACACACUAUUGAUAAUACACUUGUUGUAGCUAUACUUUGACCUCUAUCCCAACUACUGUGAAGGGCUCAGUUACGAGAGCUCACUACUUACUCUAUGCUGGACCCAGCUGAAGGGCUGGCUAUGUGAGUGGAAGCUGGCAGUGGGCACAGAUGACCUUCUGAACUGUCCCAGGAAUGAACUUUGUGUUUGCUGUUUGAAUUCGUCCGUGGACAUACUGCUUGUUACAGAUCAAACACGACGUAUGUCAGGUAGAUCUAGUGCAUGAUCGUGCUCCAUCUUCUUUUCUUAACCACUACAGAUAAGAUCCUUUACUACGGAUUUUUUUCUAAAUUACAUCCAAAUGCCUGAAACCAAAUAUGUAGGAUGUAUAAGCAAUACAAUAUUAAUUAGUUCCUACUGAGUUAGUCAGAAAAGAGGAACAAAAUAGAGCUUAUUUUCUAAAACGUAAUGAUGUACACUGAAAUUUUAGAUUUACUAAAAGCCACUGCACUGUGCCAUCCUUCAGAGUAAAUGGACUGCUAGAUUCAUUCUUGACAUCACUGCUGAAUCAGCAAAAAUAAACCCUGAAUCCCAUCUAGGUCAUGGACUCAAAUGGCUCACCGAAUACACUGCAUCAGAGGAAGUUCAUUUUGACCUGAGUCAUUCAGGACACGGGGAAACAUUUCCUAGGGAAAACAAUAUUCGAUAUACAAGCUAGCAUAGUUACACAGUUAAUCAGAUACUUUGGAGAUGAUCAUAUUAUAGAGCACAUAAAGGAGAAAAAAAAUGAAAGCGGUUAACUUUACCUACAUACUCCUUACAAUACUACUAACAAUAACAAUUAACCAAGAUAAUAUUUUUGAAUUGGACUAUAUGUUAAGAAUUAGAAAGCAAAAUUUAGAUCAGAAAGUUUUAAAAAGUAAACAUUGCUGAUAACAAGCUUUUUAAAAUUCAUGAUAUACCUUCAUAUUACAGCUCUUAUUUAAGCUUUGCUCUGCCAGUUACCAUUGUCAAAAUAUACAGCAGUACUUAAUAAGACAAGACUAGACUUAACUAUUGACUUCCAUAAUGAAACAUGAAGAUAAAAAUGAGGCUUGGUGUAAUUUAUAAGAGAGAAAAUGAUGUACUAAAAGCAAGACACUAAAUCAAUUUUAAACACCAAACACAAUUUAUGUCUGACUUUAAAACUCAUCCUCAAGACAUUAAUCUAGACAAAGGCCAGAAACUGAAUGAGGCAUAAUUUGUGAAACUGAUACCUUUCAUCACAACCUCUGGCUGAAAAGGUCAUUAGAUAUAUUAUAUCUAAGUGAGCAGCUUAUCCCUGCUUCAUUACUGAUAAUUAAGGCAAGUAAUAUUUUCUUGACAGUAAUGUGUCCAGUAAGAGAUAUCGUCUAGUUUGCAUAAACCAGACAUUAAUUACCAGAAUAGUAUCAGAGAUAAAAAAAAAUUAAGUACCUGUGUAACAUCAUUUCAUUAUUUUUUCUUCAUUUCCUUAAAGAAUUAGCAGGCUCAGAAACAUAAUGAGCAUAUUAAGAAAUCCAUUUCCAAGCAUUUAUUCAGAUCCUUAAUACACAUUACACAAAUGUAUUUUUUGUAUAUACAUAAACAGAAAUGAAGGCACUUUGGAAUACAAACAUUAUUUGAAUAUUUUGUAAUCUUGCUUUACUAGAGCAAAAUUUGUGGGUGAAGCACAGUGAUUAAAUAACAGGUUUGUAUUUGGACUUCAUUUCGAAUGUUAAGACCUGCAUAUAGAAAAACUCACAAAUGACUCCAAGACCUCUGUCCUGCUUCACCCUGUUUGCAUAAAUGGUAGUUCUGUUACACAGAAUGGGCUACGCGUGUCCGUGUGACGAUGACAAAUCUGUCACUUAGCUCACAGCCUAUUAAAUAGCUUUCAUUUCUCAGUUGAAGCAUCGCUCAGCGUUUUUAGACGCUAUGUUGAACAGCAUUUGGAAAAGAGAAAAAAGAAAGGUUCUAUUAAACUGUUCUGCGAUAGUUUAUUCACUGAGGUACGUCAUCUAUCUCACUUCAUUCUACCUAUAGACAAAUGUUAUCUACAGAGGUUUUGCCCUCAGUCCUAGCAACAGCUAUAAAGGCUGUUGCCAAUCCAUGCCAUACAG
Molecule: non-coding RNA, 4594 nt
Organism: Meleagris gallopavo (turkey)
Lineage: Eukaryota; Metazoa; Chordata; Aves; Galliformes; Phasianidae
Source: RefSeq, a predicted model, not a curated record